Leptopilina boulardi is the source of this 1254-nucleotide long non-coding RNA. RefSeq lists it as uncharacterized. The record is from RefSeq and is a predicted model, not a curated record. NCBI's taxonomy places the organism in Eukaryota, Metazoa, Arthropoda, Insecta, Hymenoptera, Figitidae. The transcript has 8 exons.
UUUUUUUAUAUAAUAAUUGACAGAUUCAAUAUUUUGCCGAUCGAUUAAUCGUUCGAUUUUCGAUAACUUCAUUAUUUCGAUUUUCCCGCCAGCUCGUUCAUUGACCCGGCGCCUCAGCCAAUGGGAUUGCUGUUGCUAACAGAACGAGGUUUGGUGGGGCGCGCCGGAGCGCCAUUCUGUGCCAGGCACUGGAAGGGUAAACAUCAUUUGAAGAGAGAAGCACCGAGGCAAGGGACCAUUAUUUAUCCUUCCAAAUUUUUGAGUUUAUCACCUUGUUGGUACAAGGUCAACAUAUUUUUCAGUGUCGAGUCGUGAGUAUUCUAUCUUCGAUGGCUUGUGGUGUCAGGUACUUUAAAGAUAAGGGCAAAAGUGAAAAAGGGUAUCUUAUCUUCAAGGACACAGAAUUCACACAGACUUUUUAGAACUCGGUCUAUUUUUACGGUUAUUUUUCACAUUUUCUGAAUGGAAAUUUAACUUGAAAGUAGGGAUCUCCGAGGGCUAUUUAGUUUGAAAGAAUCUCCUUGAAGCUGAAAAUUCGUUAUUAAGUGUCAUCAAUAUGCGUUUGAGACCUAACUCGACCGGACCUGUGGCAACCACUUUAACAUUGAUCCUGAACACUAUACGAGGAUAGGUAUAAAGGAUUCUCGAGGAAAUCUUUAGAUGCGGACCAAUCAAGCUGCUACUUGCACACAGUUUAACCCUAAGGUUUGCGCAUGUACAAAACAAAGAUGUCAAGAAAAUAAGCACGAUGUUGGCUUGAACGGUCAGUGAAUUUUCAACCUUAUAGAAAAUUACCAUUAGAGACGGGACAUACAACUAUUUCAAGAUUGUUUAGGUGUGAGAAGGAAGGAAAAAUAAUAAGGUCAAUAUUCGUGUUCAGCGCAUCAAAAUACGUCAGAAAAUCAUAUUCAAAGUCAUAGAUGAAACAUAACCUCAAAAUUCAAGGGAAUAGGUUUUCAGUAUUUAAGGCCUUAGUUCAAACAUAACCUCAAAAUUCAAGGACAUAGGUCAAGGGAUCAUUGGGUUAAAGACUAUGUCCGACAAACAUAACUUCAAAGUCCCCUAAUCAAGAAACGAACAUAACCUCAAAAUUUAGAUAAAAUUUUAAUAAUGUUAAUAUUUGCAUCAUUUGAAAAAUUAUUCCUUAAAGUGGAAAGUCAUGAAUGGAUGAAGAAACUUCUUUUUUUUGGUGAAAAUACGCGGCUUUUAAUAAAGAAAUUUAAUCAAAUGUAAAUGGCAAUUUUUUAACAAUAA